GACGAACGUUGGCGGCGUGCUUAAUACAUGCAAGUCAACUGAAGCAGUGGUAGCAAUAUCGCUGUGGAGGUGGCGCACGGGUGAGUAACACGUAGGUAAUCUGCCUUCAGGUCUGGCAUAACUCCGGGAAACCGGGGCUAAUAGCAGAUGAUGCAGCGGCUCGACAUCGAGACAGUUGUUAAAGCUAUGGCGCCUGAAGAUGAGCCUGCGUCUGAUUAGCUAGUUGGCGGGAUAACGGCCCACCAAGGCAACGAUGAGUAGCUGGUCUGAGAGGAUGAUCAGCCACACUGGAACUGAGACACGGUCCAGGCUAGUACGGGGGGCAGCAGUAAGGAAUAUUGGUCAAUGGGAGAAAUACUGAAGCAGCGACGCCGCGUGAGGGACGAAGGGCUUUUGCUUGUAAAACUCUGUAGUGAGAGAAAAAAAUCCCAAUCUUUGGGACAUGAUGGUAUCUCAAAAGUAAGCCCCGGCUAACUACGUG
Molecule: ribosomal RNA, 481 nt
Filed under: uncultured bacterium
Lineage: Bacteria
Description: partial 16S ribosomal RNA
Rfam family: Bacterial small subunit ribosomal RNA
Source: RNAcentral